This 444-nucleotide ribosomal RNA is filed under the name uncultured bacterium. Its description in RNAcentral is "bacterial SSU rRNA". It matches the Rfam family "Bacterial small subunit ribosomal RNA", at positions 331 to 792 of the family's 1533-position model. The record is from RNAcentral.
CCAGACUCCUACGGGAGGCAGCAGUGGGGAAUAUUGCACAAUGGGGGAGACCCUGAUGCAGCAACGCCGCGUGAGUGAAGAAGUCAUUCGUGAUGUAAAGCUCUAUCAGCAGGGAAGAAAAUGACGGUACCUGAGUAGGAAGCCCCGGCUAACUACGUGCCAGCAGCCGCGGUAAUACGUAGGGGGCAAGCGUUAUCCGGAUUUACUGGGUGUAAAGGGAGCGUAGACGGCAGUGCAAGUCCGGAGUGAAAGCCCGGGGCUCAACCCUGGGACUGCUCUGGAAACUGUAAAGCUGGAGUGCGGGAGGGGCAGGCGGAAUUCCUAGUGUAGCGGUGAAAUGCGUAGAUAUUAGGAGGAACACCGGUGGCGAAGGCGGCUUACUGGACUGUAACUGACGUUGAGGCUCGAAGGCGUGGGGAGCAAACAGGAUUAGAUACCCGCGUA